This 497-nucleotide ribosomal RNA is filed under the name uncultured bacterium. RNAcentral's name for it is "partial 16S ribosomal RNA". It matches the Rfam family "Bacterial small subunit ribosomal RNA", at positions 28 to 507 of the family's 1533-position model. The record is from RNAcentral.
GAUGAACGCUGGCGGCGUGCCUAAUACAUGCAAGUCGAGCGAACAGACGAGGAGCUUGCUCCUCUGACGUUAGCGGCGGACGGGUGAGUAACACGUGGAUAACCUACCUAUAAGACUGGGAUAACUUCGGGAAACCGGAGCUAAUACCGGAUAAUAUAUUGAACCGCAUGGUUCAAUAGUGAAAGACGGUUUUGCUGGCACUUAUAGAUGGAUCCGCGCCGCAUUAGCUAGUUGGUAAGGUAACGGCUUACCAAGGCAACGAUGCGUAGCCGACCUGAGAGGGUGAUCGGCCACACUGGAACUGAGACACGGUCCAGACUCCUACGGGAGGCAGCAGUAGGGAAUCUUCCGCAAUGGGCGAAAGCUUGACGGAGCAACGCCGCGUGAGUGAUGAAGGUCUUCGGAUCGUAAAACUCUGUUAUUAGGGAAGAACAAAUGUGUAAGUAACUAUGCACGUCUUGACGGUACCUAAUCAGAAAGCCACGGCUAACUGCGUG